RNAcentral lists this ribosomal RNA (358 nucleotides) under Pachymerium ferrugineum. RNAcentral's name for it is "eukaryotic LSU rRNA". It matches the Rfam family "Eukaryotic large subunit ribosomal RNA", at positions 44 to 353 of the family's 3401-position model. The record is from RNAcentral. Lineage: Eukaryota; Metazoa; Arthropoda; Chilopoda; Geophilomorpha; Geophilidae.
UAGUAAGCGGAGGAAAAGAAACUAACAAGGAUUCCCCCAGUAACUGCGAGUGAAAAGGGAAAAGCCCAGCGCCGAAGCCACCGUCCGGUUUUCGGAGCGGACGGAAAGGCAAUGUGGCGUUAAGGAGGAGCCGCCUUGACCUGGCACUUCGUUGACCGGACCGCGGAAGCCCGAGUCCCCCUGACUGGGGCCACGGCCCACGGCGGGUGCAAGGCCCCUUCGGCUUCGCCUCGGCGGACCGGAGGUUGGUGGCUCGUUACUCCUGAGAGUCGGGUUGCUUGAGAGUGCAGCCCUAAGCGGGUGGUAAACUCCACCUAAGGCUAAAUACCACCACGAGACCGAUAGCGAACAAGUACCG